UGAAUACGAGACGCUAAGGCGUCGAAGUAGUGUAUGUCAUACUUCCAAGAAAAGCUUGCACUGUCAUAGAUAAAAAACGCCUGUACCAUAACCGACACAGGUGGGUAGGUAGAGUAUACUAAGGGGCGCGAGAUAACUCUCUCUAAGGAACUCGGCAAAAUAACUCCGUAACUUCGGGAGAAGGAGUGCCUUAUUCGUAAGGUUGCAAUAACAAGAUCCAAGCAACUGUUUAUCAAAAACACAGGUCUCCGCUAAGUCGUAAGACGAUGUAUGGGGGCUGACGCCUGCCCAGUGCCAGAAGGUUAAAGAAGUUGGUUAGCAAUUGCGAAGCUGAUAACUGAAGCCCUGGUGAACGGCGGCCGUAACAAUAACGGUCCUAAGGUAGCGAAAUUCCUUGUCGGGUAAGUUCCGACCCGCACGAAAGGCGUAAUGAUUUGGAUACUGUCUCGGAGAGGGGCUCGGUGAAAUAGACUUGUCUGUGAAGAUGCGGACUACCUGCACCAGGACAGAAAGACCCUAUGAAGCUUUACUGUAACUUGAAAUUGAAAUUGGACUUUAUUCGCGCAGUAUAGGUGGGAGGCGUUGAUUAUAAUCUUGUGGGAUUAUUGGAGCCAUCAGUGAGAUACCACUCUUGUAAUGUUAGAUUUCUAACUUUGAAUCAUUAUCUGGUCAAAGAACAGUUUCAGGCGGGCAGUUUGACUGGGGCGGUCGCCUCCUAAACGGUAACGGAGGCGUACAAAGGUUUCCUCUGAACGGUUAGAAAUCGUAUCUAGAGUGUAAAGGCAUAAGGAAGCUUGACUGUGAGACCUACAAGUCGAGCAGGGACGAAAGUCGGUCUUAGUGAUCUGACGGUACUGAGUGGAAAGGCCGUCACUCAACGGAUAUAGUUACUCUAGGAUAACAGGCUGAUCUCCCCCAAGAGUUCACAUCGACGGGGAGGUUUGGCACCUGGAUGUCGGCUCAUCGCAUCCUGGGGCGGUAGUACGUCCCAAGGGUUGGGCUGUUCGCCCAUGAAAGCGGUACGCGAGCUGGGUUCAGAACGUCGUGAGACAGUUCGGUCCAUAUCCGGUGUAGGCGUUAGAAUAUUGAGAGGAGCCUUCUUUAGUACGAGAGGACCGAGAAGGACAUACCUCUGGUGUACCAGUUAUCGUGCCAACGGUAAACGCUGGGUAGCUAUGUAUGGAGUGGAUAACCGCUGAAAGCAUCUAAGUGGGAAGCCCACCUCAAGAUAAGUAUUCUCAUC
This 1243-nucleotide ribosomal RNA is filed under the name metagenome. Its description in RNAcentral is "bacterial LSU rRNA". It matches the Rfam family "Bacterial large subunit ribosomal RNA", at positions 1564 to 2818 of the family's 2925-position model. The record is from RNAcentral.